AGCUGUCCCUAGUACGAGAGGACCGGGAUGGACGCACCUCUGGUGUACCGGUUGUUCCGCCAGGAGCAUCGCCGGGUAGCUAUGUGCGGAAGGGAUAACCGCUGAAAGCAUCUAAGCGGGAAGCCCCCCUUAAUACGAGGUUUCGCUCGAGAGCCGUGGAAGACCACCACGUUGAUAGGCUGGGUGUGGAAGCGUGGCAACACGUGAAGCUGACCAGUACUAAUUGCUCGAUUGGCUUGAUUGU
Molecule: ribosomal RNA, 244 nt
Filed under: Rhodospirillaceae bacterium
Lineage: Bacteria; Pseudomonadati; Pseudomonadota; Alphaproteobacteria; Rhodospirillales; Rhodospirillaceae
Description: partial 23S ribosomal RNA
Rfam family: Bacterial large subunit ribosomal RNA
Source: RNAcentral